RNAcentral lists this long non-coding RNA (328 nucleotides) under Homo sapiens (human). Its description in RNAcentral is "non-protein coding lnc-LIPC-5:1". Lineage: Eukaryota; Metazoa; Chordata; Mammalia; Primates; Hominidae. The record is from RNAcentral.
AUUAGCUUUACACUAGCCCUAGUGACCGACACCUUACUAGCAAUUACAUUUUGACUCCCAUAACUUAAUAUUUAUAUAGAAAAAUCCAGCCCUUAUGAAUGCGGAUUUGACUCAUUAACCUCUGGCCACCUUCCUUUCUCUAGAAAAUUCUUCCUAGUGGUCACCACAUUUCUCCUGUUCAACUUAGAAAUUGCUCUACUACUGCCCCUGCCAUGAGCCCUUCAAACAAACAACCUGACACUAAUAAUCAGCACAGCCCUUAUACUAAUUAUCAUUUUAAUCCUAGGCUUGACUUAUGAAUGAACCCAAAAAGGAUUAGACUGAAUUG